UACGGAGGGUCCAAGCGUUAUCCGGAAUCAUUGGGUUUAAAGGGUCCGUAGGCGGUUUUGUAAGUCAGUGGUGAAAGCCUAUCGCUCAACGGUGGAACGGCCAUUGAUACUGCAAGACUUGAAUUAUUAGGAAGUAACUAGAAUAUGUAGUGUAGCGGUGAAAUGCUUAGAGAUUACAUGGAAUACCAAUUGCGAAGGCAGGUUACUACUAAUGGAUUGACGCUGAUGGACGAAAGCGUGGGUAGCGAACAGG
RNAcentral lists this ribosomal RNA (253 nucleotides) under uncultured bacterium. RNAcentral describes it as "partial 16S ribosomal RNA". It matches the Rfam family "Bacterial small subunit ribosomal RNA", at positions 524 to 776 of the family's 1533-position model. The record is from RNAcentral.